AAAAUAUGGCAUAUCAAGCUUGUAUCAAAUGUAGGCCUAUGCAUUUUUUAUUUUACAUUGUUUGUGUGUGUUUAAAUUCAAAUGUCUACAAUAAUACAGUUAAGGCAUAUUUUUGUGUUCAUUUGAUUAGAUAAUAGCUGUUGCAACAUGACAUGCUAGAAAUAGCAUUGCAAGACCAAAACCAAAACCAUGACCAAAAACAGCAUAAUAUAAGAUGUAAUUGACUAGAUUUAUGGCCUUAUUAGCCUUUUUAAUGCAGCCAAGUCUUUGUUAUUGAAUUUUUUCUCUGACUGUACAAAACAUGCAGUUUUAUUAAGGAACUUUACACAUGUCAUUUAGAUUAAAAGAGAUUUUUUCACAGGUAUUCCAAACAGAGGGUUCGCAGUAAGUCUUUAGAUAAACCGUGAUUGUUUUAGUGAGUGUCAUAGCAAAAUCUUGUUAUUUGUGAGUGCAGUGGUAUGUAUCUUUUACUGUAUUAGUUGCUCUAUUCUUCUUUGUAGGAUGAUGGCAGAUCUCAACACACCUCUGUUCACACCACCUUAGCCCAGCAUGGAUAAGAAAUGUGUUUUAGAGAAUGUGGAAAAUAAAUACAGAGAAUUCAUAGCUGAGACCCUGCACUGCCUAAUUAAGCUCAAGAGAGAUCUCUUAAGCAGCCUAUUAACCUUGGACAAAAACUCAGCCUAUCCUCCCCCAAACAUCUCUGAAGACUUACGGACAGUGAUGAGGGUCAAAAAGUUUUGACCACUGGUCUCAGGUGGUCUCCUGUCAGAUUUUUUCUUCAGGAACCCAUUACUGGGAGCUGGAGGUGGAGGGAUUCUGGGAUAUAGCAGUGAACUACAGCUAUAUCCCUAUACAGCAGUGGGAGGAAAUCAAAAGAGGGCACAGACUUUGGCUGCAACAAGAUAGAUUGUUAACCUAAUACACAAACUUUUUUAAUACCAAAUAUGAUGAUCUCUCUGCAAAUGACUUCUUAAAAUAUAAAUGCACCCAUAUAUGUUCAUGUAUAAAGACUCAUUUUUACUGUGAAAAAAAAAAUUACACAAUGUUUCACAAUGUUAAAUCAAAUUAUAUAAAAACAGAAUUUUUUAUUAUUCUAGUCAUAUCGUACCAGAUGCCUGGCCCAUUGUAUAUUUUAAUCCAUUAUGUUCUGUGCAUUAUGAUUUUCUGUUAUCUUACCCAGAUAUCCUGAAGCCUGACACAGCAGCAUGACCGGAAACUUGCUGCCUGGCAUAACCGAAAGAAAACCCACCUCUCCGCAAAAAUGUCUGGCAACCAUUUAGCAGUUACUCUGGACUAUGAUUCUGGCUCCAUCACCUUUUUAGAAGUAGGUUCUUCAUCCACCUAGCUCCCUCUGCACAAUUUCAGCACCAGAUUCACCCAGCCCGUCUGCCUAGGCUUUGGCCUCUACAAACCAGAGCUGAACAGCAGGGUCACCAUCCUCAAGAAAAUAUGAUGGCAUUUCCAUCUCGGCAUUUUACUGUAAUUUUAAGGGGAACUGAGAUCCAAUGCCUCUUUCUCCAAUAAUGGAUAUUCAAAAUUAGCUAAAUAUAUAUCUCAUAAUAUAUUGCCAGUGCCCUUUUUUGAAGGCUCUUAAAUGCAUAAAAGUGCAAUUUAAAUGCAUUUAAAAUAUUAAAUAUUUCCAAUGUCAGCAGCCUUUGUCAUCACAGCUCAGGAAAGACACUAUAGUGAAGGGUUUGGGAUUGUGAUGCACCAUCAGCCAAUCAGCACUGUCAACUGUUCCGUACAGUUUAUGUGAUUGGCUCAAAAAGUUCUGUGCUUCCGUGAAAAAAAAAAAAAAAAAAAUCAUGUACUGUCAAGUUGUCCUGCACCAGCUGAUAAACCACCAUUGAGAAGAAGCUUUCUCCUGUUAUUAUAGACCUCACUGUUGGCAGCCCUUCCUUCAACAUCUAGAUUCAGGUAUCCUUACUAAAGCAGUGCAGCCAUUACUUUGUUUUUAAAAUAAAUGCACAAUUUUAAAAAUAGCCCUUUAAUGGACUGGCCAUCCGUUCAGGGUUUUCCCGCCUUUGGCCCAAGAUGCUGGCAUAUGUUCCAGCAUGCCUGCGACAGAGGAUAAGCGGUUGGAGAACAAAUGGAAUGUUGAAAUUUGACAAAAUAUAAGCACAGUUCACUCUUCUUUAAUUUAUUGUUUUUAUUUCUUGUGAUGUUCAAAAAUAAAAAAGUACUUGAUGUAUUUGAGAAAUCUGAAAAUGUACUUUUAUUGUAUUAUCCUUUGUGCCCUUUGAUGCUG
Cyprinus carpio carpio is the source of this 2248-nucleotide long non-coding RNA. The record is from Ensembl. Lineage: Eukaryota; Metazoa; Chordata; Actinopteri; Cypriniformes; Cyprinidae.